UACGUAGGGUGCGAGCGUUAAUCGGAAUUACUGGGCGUAAAGCGUGCGCAGGCGGUUAUGCAAGACAGAUGUGAAAUCCCCGGGCUCAACCUGGGAACUGCAUUUGUGACUGCAUGGCUAGAGUGCGGCAGAGGGGAUGGAAUUCCGCGUGUAGCAGUGAAAUGCGUAGAGAUGUGGAGGAACACCGAUGGCGAAGGCAGCCCCCUGGCUGAGAUUGACGCUCAGGCA
This 228-nucleotide ribosomal RNA is filed under the name uncultured bacterium. RNAcentral describes it as "partial 16S ribosomal RNA". It matches the Rfam family "Bacterial small subunit ribosomal RNA", at positions 524 to 753 of the family's 1533-position model. The record is from RNAcentral.